AUCACCUGGGAUCUUGUUAAACACAGAUCCUGAUUAAGGGGUUUGGAGUGGGACCUGAGAGUCUGCAUUUCUAACAAGCUCCGAGGUGAUGCC
RNAcentral lists this microRNA precursor (93 nucleotides) under Echinops telfairi (small Madagascar hedgehog). Its description in RNAcentral is "miRNA (ENSETEG00000025023.1)". The record is from RNAcentral. Lineage: Eukaryota; Metazoa; Chordata; Mammalia; Afrosoricida; Tenrecidae.